This 393-nucleotide ribosomal RNA is filed under the name uncultured bacterium. RNAcentral's name for it is "partial 16S ribosomal RNA". It matches the Rfam family "Bacterial small subunit ribosomal RNA", at positions 523 to 918 of the family's 1533-position model. The record is from RNAcentral.
AUACGUAUGGAGCAAGCGUUAUCCGGAUUUACUGGGUGUAAAGGGAGCGUAGACGGUAUGGCAAGUCUGAUGUGAAAGGUGAGGGCUCAACCCUUAAACUGCAUUGGAAACUGUCCCACUGGAGUGUCGGAGAGGUAAGUGGAAUUCCUAGUGUAGCGGUGAAAUGCGUAGAUAUUGGAAAGAACACCGGUGGCGAAGGCGAUCUACUGGACGAUAACUGACGCUGAUACACGAAAGUGUGGGGAGCAAACAGGAUUAGAUACCCUGGUAGUCCACACUGUAAACGAUGAAUGCUAGGUGUGAGGAAGCAAUUUUUCGUGCCGCAGCUAACGCAAUAAGCAUUCCACCUGGGGAGUACGGCCGCAAGGUUGAAACUCAAAUGAAUCGACGGGG